GGGCACGGGGGGCCUACGGGAGGCAGCAGUGGGGAAUCUUCCACAAUGGGCGAAAGCCUGAUGGAGCAACGCCGCGUGAGUGAAGAAGGUCUUAGGAUUGUAAAGCUCUGUCCUUAGGGAAGAACCGUGGGUAUAGUAAAUGCUACCCACCUGACGGUACCUUUGGAGGAAGCACUGGCUAACUACGUGCCAGCAGCCGCGGUAAUACGUAGAGUGCAAGCGUUGUCCGGAAUUAUUGGGCGUAAAGGGUACGCAGGCGGAUAAUCAAGUCAAGCGUGAAAGGUGUCGGCUUAACCGACAGACUGCGUUUGAAACUGGUUAUCUUGAGUGUAACAGAGGAGAGUGGAAUUCCUAGUGUAGUGGUGAAAUACGUAGAUAUUAGGAAGAACACCAGUGGCGAAGGCGACUCUCUGGGUUAACACUGACGCUGAGGUACGAAAGCUGGGGGAGCGAACGGGAUUAGAUACCCCGGUAGUCCCAGCCGUAAACGAUGGAUACUAGGUGUUGGAGGUUCGAAUCCUUCAGUGCCGGAGUUAACGCAUUAAGUAUCCCGCCUGGGGAUUACGAUCGCAAGAUUGAA
This 580-nucleotide ribosomal RNA is filed under the name Halanaerobium sp. LWS3. RNAcentral describes it as "bacterial SSU rRNA". It matches the Rfam family "Bacterial small subunit ribosomal RNA", at positions 322 to 898 of the family's 1533-position model. Lineage: Bacteria; Bacillati; Bacillota; Clostridia; Halanaerobiales; Halanaerobiaceae. The record is from RNAcentral.